This 495-nucleotide ribosomal RNA is filed under the name uncultured bacterium. RNAcentral describes it as "partial 16S ribosomal RNA". It matches the Rfam family "Bacterial small subunit ribosomal RNA", at positions 28 to 507 of the family's 1533-position model. The record is from RNAcentral.
GACGAACGCUGGCGGCGUGCCUAAUACAUGCAAGUAGAACGCUGAAGGAGGAGCUUGCUUCUCUGGAUGAGUUGCGAACGGGUGAGUAACGCGUAGGUAACCUGCCUGGUAGCGGGGGAUAACUAUUGGAAACGAUAGCUAAUACCGCAUAAUAGCAGUUGCUGCAUGACAACUGUUUGAAAGGUGCAUUUGCACCACUACCAGAUGGACCUGCGUUGUAUUAGCUAGUUGGUGGGGUAACGGCUCACCAAGGCGACGAUACAUAGCCGACCUGAGAGGGGGAUCGGCAAAACUGGGAACGAGAACAGGCCCAGAACCCUACGGGAGGCAGCAGUAGGGAAACUUCGGCAAUGGACGGAAGUCUGACCGAGCAACGCCGCGUGAGUGAAGAAGGUUUUCGGAUCGUAAAGCUCUGUUGUAAGAGAAGAAAGAGUGUGAGAGUGGAAAGUUCACACUGUGACGGUAUCUUAACUGAAAGGGACGGCUAACUACGUG